UGGAUCUUAGUUAAAACCAGAGGUGUGUAUCUUAGUUAAAACCAGAGGUGUGUAUCUUAGUUAAAACCAGAGGUGUGUAUCUUAGUUAAAACCAGAGGUGUGUAUCUUAGUUAAAACCAGAGGUGUGUAUCUUAGUUAAAACCAGAGGUGUGGAUCUUAGUUAAAACCAGAGGUGUGUAUCUUAGUUAAAACCAGAGGUGU
Long non-coding RNA from Oncorhynchus tshawytscha (Chinook salmon), 201 nucleotides. RefSeq lists it as uncharacterized. NCBI's taxonomy places the organism in Eukaryota, Metazoa, Chordata, Actinopteri, Salmoniformes, Salmonidae. The record is from RefSeq and is a predicted model, not a curated record. The transcript is spliced from 3 exons.